This is a long non-coding RNA of Xiphophorus hellerii (green swordtail), 2041 nucleotides long. RefSeq lists it as uncharacterized. The transcript has 3 exons. The record is from RefSeq and is a predicted model, not a curated record. Lineage: Eukaryota; Metazoa; Chordata; Actinopteri; Cyprinodontiformes; Poeciliidae.
AUUCUCAGACAUGUAUUGCGUUGUAGUUCAAAUGUUAUGUUUCAAAUACCUACACAGCUUUGCAACAUAGUGUUUGGCCUUUACAAAAGUCCAAACCUUUAUGUCUCACACACUCAAAGAGACACCAAACAUUCAGUGAUUGAUCCAGAUCCGAUCCCUACAAUACCCAAUGGCAAUAUAAUGACAUGUGCUUUCUGACCCCCUGACCUAAUCAGCAUGACAGUGUUGAUUAGGUCAGACAACGGCGACAGGGUGGUGGUGCCUGACCUUCCACAGUCGCCACACGGCCACAGUGGCACUGAGCUGCCGUUCGAGAUUGUUUGCAGCUUGUUUAGUCAUUGUUACCGAAUUAUUGCUUUUUUUUUGUUGCUAUUUUUGUUUGGUUUUCCAACUUUAAACACUAUUUGAGUGAGUUUGAUAUGCACUCCACUGGUGUUUCAAUCCUCAGUGUGAUACUAAGUAGGAUUGUCAGUCAGAAAAUGUUUAGAGCCUCCAGCGUCUCAGUGAAUCUUGCAGUUGGGGAGCUUUUGGACUUGCUCAGCAAGUCAGGGAGGCUGUUCCUCUCAGCUUUACACCCCUCCAGUCACAUUUCAUUUCACUAUUCCAGAUGGUUUUAAGCUAUUAUUAAGGUCAGCUGCCAUCAAGAUCUUGGAGUCAUUCCUAGUCUGACCUUUCGCCAGAGGUCAUUUUGCUGCAUGGAUGACCAUAUGAAGGGACCAAGGCCCUGGGCAUUAUUAUCUCCAGUAUAAUAGGAAUACUUAAAUAACUCCACCAAUCCUUUGUAGGACUUCAACAAGUACUUUUUUCCAUCACCUCAAAUAAAGAAGUCCAGUUUCUAAAUAAAAUGAGUCAAUAGCAUUUUUCAAAGAACUGACAUAGAAACUUGUUGAAGACAACUGCUUACCUUUAAGUAACUUAUUUAGCAAAAAAACACUGUAAAUACAAAAUUAUUACACGGAAUCUUUACAUAAUAGUGUAUAUGUGUAGUUGUAAUGUAAAUGUGAAUGCUGCAUUGAAAAGUUCUCACUAAAUUCUGGGGCUCUGUAAGCCCAUUCCUGUCAAAACACUGAAGAAUAUUUUGAGCUACAAUAUUACUUUGUAUUGUAGCUCUGUGCGCUUCUAGUUUUCCUCAAUACUUUUCUCCUUGAUUGCCCUGCCACCAUGUCAUCCACAUACCUUUAAUGUAUUAGUUUAGCUUUACUAAAUUACCAUAUCCACGCAGGCAGUAUCAAAAGAGGAGGAAGGGUGAAGAAUAUGUUGUAAUUUUUCUGCAAUAUUUGUAAGGAACAAGUAUUUUAUACAAUAUUUGUUUACCUUGCAAUCUUUACUAGGGGUGUAAAAUGUACAAUGUGUGAACCUUACACACUGUGAACUACACAACAUGUAAUCGUAAACAGAUUAUAUAUUGCAAUCCUCUGUUGGUGGCUCUGGACAAUACUACAAAUGUGCUUGCACACACUUUGCAUGUUUUCUGAUCAGUGAAUCUUCCAGUACAUACUUGGUAUAAUAAUAAAUAAUAAUAAUAAUACUUUAUUUGGAUAGCAUCUUUUUAAACAAAGGUGUCAUGUUCCGGGGUCUUUUAGCUCCUUUGUGGAGUUUUUGUGCAUGCACUCGUUUUUCUCCACCACUAGAUGGCGCCUUUACCAUUCCGUCGGAGGGCGUGGAUGACGUCAUCCCACACCUGAUGCGAGUUUUGGCUCAUCAGCGAGAUGUUCAAGAGGAGCUGACUGCCAGUCCUUCAGCGCCUGAGUGUUAGCCAGUCACGGUGUUUCCUCCUGGCUCCUCUACAACCGCUGAUCCUGAGCCUACCUGUCCGCCCUCCGACGUACUCCCUUUGCCUCCUGGAUCCCCGCUGUCAGACAAGACGACCACCUGGAACCUCUGAGAACUAAAACCCCGGACGCUGCAGUUACCCUCCCACUUCUCUAACCUGCCGAUCACAAUGAACUGUUUGUUCCCUGAACCAGCCUCUCUCCCUGGACCCGACCCGAGCCAACUAUUCCUGCCAGCAGUGUUUUCAAUAAAUUGAUCUUUUAUUUCA